Xenia sp. Carnegie-2017 is the source of this 579-nucleotide long non-coding RNA. RefSeq lists it as uncharacterized. The record is from RefSeq and is a predicted model, not a curated record. The transcript has 2 exons. Lineage: Eukaryota; Metazoa; Cnidaria; Anthozoa; Malacalcyonacea; Xeniidae.
GCAAUUAUCACGAUGGCUGUUCCACGAUAACAUCGUAAAUCACAUUGUGAUUUCCCCAGAUUUGGGUGUUGACGUCAAUACAUCAACUGCGACCUAUGUAUAUACUCCAGGAAGCACAUCAUACGAAGUGGAUACAUCAACUCUAAAGAAGCAGACCCUCAGUGUUACUCUACGUUUUAACUACAAUUACGCUUACCUUACAUGAUGGACAUUUCCAUGCAUCGUGAUGGUUUGGAGGAUUGCUGGCACAUUUAGCGUGAAACACGCGAGGGCAAAAAUCACACAAGAUCACUUCACCGGGUUCUUGACAAUCAAAACAAUACCAAUCGUGCGUUUUGGCUUUCUACAGGAGAAAAAAAUAAAUGACAUUUAUUUUAGUGUGGUGGUCCUUGUGACAUAAGCAUAAACAUAAACAUAAACAUCAGUGUCCUCACUUGCUAUAAACUGCUGUAAGAACAAGAAUAAGCAAAAACGCGGAUAAUAAGAAUGGAGAGUUUGGAUAUCAUUAUUCUUAUGCACGGCAACAAGCUAUUAAAGGGACAACUAACAUUGAAGUUUCUUCCAUCAUAGCUUCAUGUA